UAAUUCUUUUUAUAUAAUUUAUUUAAUAAUUUAAUAACAUUGAAUAAAAUUUAAUUAGUAAUAAAUUAAAUAUUUAAAUAAUUUUUAAUUUAUUUCAUUUAAUGUUUAAAAUAAUUAUUUAAAUGUAAAUUUAUUAUAGAAAAUUAUUUAUGUUAUUAAUAAAUUAAAGUGCCAGCAAUUGCGGUUAUACUUUAAAUGAAAAUAAAUUUUUAAUAAUUAAUUAAUUAUAUAUAAAAAUAAUUUUAUAAAUUAAAAAAAAAUUUUUUUAUGGUGAAAUAUAAAUAAAUUUAAAUUUUAAUUUUAAAAAUUAAAUAAUUAAAUUAUAUAAAAUUUAAAUUUAAACUAGGAUUAGAUACCCUAUUAUAUUAUUAAAAAAAAUAUUAAUUAUAUAUUAAAUGUAAAAAAUCAUUAAAAAUAAAGAAUUUGGCGGUAUUUUAUUAUAUUAGAGGAAUUUGUUAAUUAAUUUGAUGAUCCACGAAUGGAAUUACUUAAUUAUAAAAUUUUUUAUAUAUUGUUGUUGAAAAAUUAUAUUAUUAGAUAUUAAUUAAAAUAUAUUUAAUUAAAUAAUAAUAAUUCAAAUCAAAAUGUAGAUUAAUUAAGAUUUAAAUGAAUUACAAUUAAUUUUAUUAAUAGAAAUUAAAUUUUAAUAUUUAAUAAAAAAUGGAUUUAAAUGUAAAUUUUUAUAAAUUUAUAAAUUGAAUUAUUAUUUAAAAUAUGUACAAAUUGCCCGUCAUUUUCAUUUUAAAGAUGAAAAAAGUCGUAACAAAGUAAAUAUAUUGGAAAAUGUAUUUAGUUUAAU
Molecule: ribosomal RNA, 799 nt
Filed under: Acropyga myops
Lineage: Eukaryota; Metazoa; Arthropoda; Insecta; Hymenoptera; Formicidae
Description: 12S ribosomal RNA
Source: RNAcentral